Molecule: transfer RNA, 75 nt
Filed under: Sphaerodactylus townsendi
Lineage: Eukaryota; Metazoa; Chordata; Lepidosauria; Squamata; Sphaerodactylidae
Description: tRNA-Ser
Source: RNAcentral
GUUCCUGUAUGGCACAGUUGGUUGGGUAUUUGCCUGCUGCCCAAAAGGUUGCUGGUUCAACUCCAGCUGGGGACA